This 417-nucleotide ribosomal RNA is filed under the name uncultured bacterium. RNAcentral's name for it is "bacterial SSU rRNA". It matches the Rfam family "Bacterial small subunit ribosomal RNA", at positions 362 to 776 of the family's 1533-position model. The record is from RNAcentral.
UAUUGGUCAAUGGGCGCAAGCCUGAACCAGCCAUGCCGCGUGCAGGAAGACGGCUCUAUGAGUUGUAAACUGCUUUUGUACUAGGGUAAUUUGCGGUACGUGUACCGUAUUGAAAGUAUAGUACGAAUAAGGAUCGGCUAACUCCGUGCCAGCAGCCGCGGUAAUACGGAGGAUCCGAGCGUUAUCCGGAUUCAUUGGGUUUAAAGGGUGCGUAGGUUGUUUUAUAAGUUAGCGGUGAAAUACCGAUGCUCAACAUCGGGGCUGCCGCUAAUACUGUAGGACUAGAGAUCGGAUGCAGCAGGCGGAAUGUGUAGUGUAGCGGUGAAAUGCAUAGAUAUUACACAGAACACCGAUUGCGAAGGCAGCUUGCUAGGCCGGAUCUGACACUGAUGCACGAAAGCGUGGGGAUCGAACAGG